RNAcentral lists this ribosomal RNA (440 nucleotides) under uncultured bacterium. RNAcentral describes it as "partial 16S ribosomal RNA". It matches the Rfam family "Bacterial small subunit ribosomal RNA", at positions 338 to 795 of the family's 1533-position model. The record is from RNAcentral.
CCUACGGGAGGCAGCAGUGGGGAAUAUUGCACAAUGGGGGAAACCCUGAUGCAGCGAUGCCGCGUGGAGGAAGAAGGUUUUCGGAUUGUAAACCCCUUUUAUCAGGGACGAUAAUGACGGUACUUGUAGAAAAAGAUGCGGCUAACUACGUGCAAGUAGCCGCGGUAAUACGUAGGGAGCGAGCGUUGUCCGGAAUUACUGGGUGUAAAGGGAGCGUAGGCGGGACGGCAAGUCAGAUGUGAAAACUGAGGGCUCAACUUUCAGACUGCAUUUGAAACUGCUGGUCUUGAGUGAAGCAGAGGUGAGCGGAAUUCCUAGUGUAGCAGUGAAAUGCGUAGAUAUUAGGAAGAACAUCGAUGGCGAAGGCGGCUUCCUGGGAUUUUACUGACGCUGAGACUCGAAAGCGUGGGGAGCAAACAGGAUUAGAUACCCCGGUAGUC